ACACUCCUACGGGAGGCAGCAGUGGGGAAUUUUGGACAAUGGGCGAAAGCCUGAUCCAGCAAUGCCGCGUGAGUGAAGAAGGCCUUCGGGUUGUAAAGCUCUUUUGUCAGGGAAGAAACGGUGAGAGCUAAUAUCUUUUGCUAAUGACGGUACCUGAAGAAUAAGCACCGGCUAACUACGUGCCAGCAGCCGCGGUAAUACGUAGGGUGCAAGCGUUAAUCGGAAUUACUGGGCGUAAAGAGUGCGCAGGCGGUUUUGUAAGUCUGAUGUGAAAUCCCCGGGCUCAACCUGGGAAUUGCAUUGGAGACUGCAAGGCUAGAAUCUGGCAGAGGGGGGUAGAAUUCCACGUGUAGCAGUGAAAUGCGUAGAUAUGUGGAGGAACACCGAUGGCGAAGGCAGCCCCCUGGGUCAAGAUUGACGCUCAUGCACGAAAGCGUGGGGAGCAAACAGGAUUAGAAACCCGGGUAGUCCC
This 472-nucleotide ribosomal RNA is filed under the name uncultured organism. Its description in RNAcentral is "partial 16S ribosomal RNA". It matches the Rfam family "Bacterial small subunit ribosomal RNA", at positions 333 to 797 of the family's 1533-position model. The record is from RNAcentral.